GCGGCAGGCCUAAUACAUGCAAGUCGAGGGGUAACAGGAAGUGCUUGCACUUCGCUGACGACCGGCGCACGGGUGAGUAUCGCGUAUACAAUCUGCCUCAUACUAGGGAAUAGCCCGAAGAAAUUUGGAUUAAUGCCCUAUAGUAUCUUUUUAAGGCAUCUUAUUAAGAUUAAAGGUUACGGUAUGAGAUGAGUAUGCGUUCUAUUAGCUAGUAGGUGUGGUAACGGCACACCUAGGCUACGAUAGAUAGGGGCCCUGAGAGGGGGAUCCCCCACACUGGUACUGAGACACGGACCAGACUCCUACGGGAGGCAGCAGUAAGGAAUAUUGGUCAAUGGACGAAAGUCUGAACCAGCCAUGCCGCGUGCAGGAUGACUGCCCUAUGGGUUGUAAACUGCUUUUAUAUAGGAAGAAAAACUUUCUCGUGAGAAAGCUUGACGGUACUAUAAGAAUAAGGAUCGG
Molecule: ribosomal RNA, 462 nt
Filed under: uncultured Bacteroidota bacterium
Lineage: Bacteria; Pseudomonadati; Bacteroidota
Description: bacterial SSU rRNA
Rfam family: Bacterial small subunit ribosomal RNA
Source: RNAcentral